CACAAAAAACCAGUCAAUCUCUCUCUCCCUCUCUCUCUUUAUUCUUCUUUUGGGCACAAAUUUCCAUUUCACUUUUUUAUUUUUCAUUUUAUUUUUUUUCGCCAUUUCUAAACGCUCGAGCUCCUCGCAUCCUGUCUCCUGUCUUCUACUCUUCUUCCUCCUCCUCCUCAUCGUCUUCAUCUCGCCAGCUCUCUCUCUCUCAUCGGCGUCAAGUUCGCCGAGCGAUUCCAUAGCCUGCAGACGGCCGACUCUCGUCGUUUUUCCUGUUUCCACGCACGUCUCGCCUGCGAUGCCGGUUCAGAUCCCUAAUGUCGAUAAACUCGAUGCGUAACUCAGCGUCGCCCGUUGCAAUUUAUCAUUGCGUUCGGCGGGAGGUUCAAAUUCCAUGGUGGAGGAGCGGGGGCCUUGGAGGUAGAGAAAAUUUGUCUGAUCUGUUGAUGAUGAUGGCUAUGGAAUGGUAGUCUUUCCUUUUGGAUUUGAAUGGGAACGCAGCUGACUGAACUUUUUAGUUCAUGGAGCUGUGAUUGAAAUUGUCU
This is a long non-coding RNA of Syzygium oleosum, 536 nucleotides long. RefSeq lists it as uncharacterized. The transcript has 2 exons. The record is from RefSeq and is a predicted model, not a curated record. Lineage: Eukaryota; Viridiplantae; Streptophyta; Magnoliopsida; Myrtales; Myrtaceae.